This 426-nucleotide ribosomal RNA is filed under the name uncultured Lachnospiraceae bacterium. Its description in RNAcentral is "bacterial SSU rRNA". It matches the Rfam family "Bacterial small subunit ribosomal RNA", at positions 355 to 794 of the family's 1533-position model. The record is from RNAcentral. Lineage: Bacteria; Bacillati; Bacillota; Clostridia; Lachnospirales; Lachnospiraceae.
UGGGGAAUAUUGCACAAUGGGGGAAACCCGUACGAUGCAGCGACGCCGCGUGAACGAAGAAGUAUUUCGGUAUGUAAAGUUCUAUCAGCAGGGAAGAUAAUGACGGUACCUGAGGAAUAAGCCCCGGCUAACUACGUGCCAGCAGCCGCGGUAAUACGUAGGGGGCGAGCGUUGUCCGGAAUGACUGGGCGUAAAGGGUGUGUAGGUGGUUUGAUAAGUUAGAUGUGUAAUACCCAGGGCUUAACUCGGGCGCUACAUCUAAAACUGUUAGACUUGAGUACUGGAGAGGAUAGUGGAAUUCCUAGUGUAGCGGUGGAAUGCGUAGAUAUUAGGAGGAACAUCAGUGGCGAAGGCGACUAUCUGGACAGCAACUGACACUGAGGCACGAAAGCGUGGGGAGCAAACAGGAUUAGAUACCCUGGUAGU